GGGUCGAAAUCGUACCCGUACUGUGGAUCGUCUUCCACCUUCGACCGUCCGUCCGCUUCCGCCGGAUCUCGCCUGAUUUUGCGGCGGUGGGUGCGGGAAGACGUUGCGCCGGUGGAGCGGGGUGCUGGUGCGGCAGUGAACGGGGUGGCGUCCUUCUCCGAGCUUCGGUCACGGGCGGUGGCUUCCAAUGGUGAUUCGGCGGCGCUGCAAGGUGAAGGCGGUGGUUGGCGCCUGUGUAGCGGCGGCCGGAAGGGAAAACGGCGAGAGGGGGGGGGGAAAAAAGAGGGAGAAAGCGGCUUAUUCGCCGCUCGGGCCACUGUGGGGGUAGCCGGCGACGGGGUCUUCCCCUUCUGUGCAGGGACCGAGAGGGAAGGGAGAGGGAAAGGAGACGGUGGUGGAGGCGGCGGCGGUGGGGGGCGAAGGCGAUCUGUGGAUUGACGCCGGAAGACAGUCGACCGACGGGAGGGUUUUGCUUUUUCUUUUUUCUCGGUGGGUGAGGUGAUGAACAGGGAAGAAAAUAAUGAAGAAAUGGAGUGACCCUUCUUCUUCGGGACGCGUGCCGU
RNAcentral lists this long non-coding RNA (563 nucleotides) under Phoenix dactylifera (date palm). RNAcentral describes it as "long non-coding RNA (PDAC_LNC021643)". The record is from RNAcentral. Lineage: Eukaryota; Viridiplantae; Streptophyta; Magnoliopsida; Arecales; Arecaceae.